This 427-nucleotide ribosomal RNA is filed under the name uncultured bacterium. RNAcentral describes it as "partial 16S ribosomal RNA". It matches the Rfam family "Bacterial small subunit ribosomal RNA", at positions 355 to 774 of the family's 1533-position model. The record is from RNAcentral.
UGGGGAAUAUUGCACAAUGGGCGCAAGCCUGAUGCAGCCAUGCCGCGUAUAUGAAGAAGGCCUUCGGGUUGUAAAGUACUUUCAGCGGGGAGGAAGGCGAUAAGGUUAAUAACCUUGUCGAUUGACGUUACCCGCAGAAGAAGCACCGGCUAACUCCGUGCCAGCAGCCGCGGUAAUACGGAGGGUGCAAGCGUUAAUCGGAAUUACUGGGCGUAAAGCGCACGCAGGCGGUCUGUCAAGUCGGAUGUGAAAUCCCCGGGCUCAACCUGGGAACUGCAUUCGAAACUGGCAGGCUAGAGUCUUGUAGAGGGGGGUAGAAUUCCAGGUGUAGCGGUGAAAUGCGUAGAGAUCUGGAGGAAUACCGGUGGCGAAGGCGGCCCCCUGGACAAAGACUGACGCUCAGGUGCGAAAGCGUGGGGAGCAAACA